UAGACAAUUCCCUGGAAAGGGGGACCCCCUGCCCCUCCACAGCCGCCCUUCUCCUCAGAGAUGGCCGUGUGUCCACCCUCAGAUAUUUCCCUGGAAACGGGCACCCCCUGCACCUCCGGAGCCCCCCUCGUCCCCUCAGGCCUCCCCCUCUUGCCCUCAGGACAAAGGGAUCCAGGUCAAUAAGAAGUCGGAUUUUGGAGAGAACACAGGACAGGCUACACAACCCCCUGAGAUUCCCUCCCGCCCCAAGGGGAUUUAGCAACCCCAAAAACCUCACACUGCUGCAGGUGCAGAAGCUUUGAUUCCUCAUGUAACUAAGGAAGCUCUGAGAUUCCUGGGCAACUUCAGUGCCAACAGAUGCCCAACAACACGAUGCUCUCUAAAGCUAGCUUGCACAAACCUGACCAGCUGCCAGACAAGCAUCAAUGCAGCAACAACAGCAGGACUGUUUUCCCAGGUUACCUGGAAGGGGAAUGUUUCCUGCCCACAGGUUCAGCCAGUGCUGGCCUCUUAAGACUGUCAAGCAGGGAAGGGAGCGAGGGGGAGAAAAUCAGCUCUCUUAGACAAUAACUCUCCAGGGAAGGGGUGUAAAAGCCUUGUCAUGCUGAAGCCUGACUUAAAACUUUAUAUUGCAAGUAGGCUGUGGUUUGGGUUUUUUUCUC
Long non-coding RNA from Manacus vitellinus (golden-collared manakin), 662 nucleotides. RefSeq lists it as uncharacterized. The record is from RefSeq and is a predicted model, not a curated record. The transcript is spliced from 4 exons. Lineage: Eukaryota; Metazoa; Chordata; Aves; Passeriformes; Pipridae.